GACGGGACUUUCGCUUUACGUUGAUGCGUUCAUACCUGAGGGUUGUCAUAAGUUGUUGGAUGUUGUUACUGGGGUAGAAGGUUCAACCAAAUGCGAUUUGGAGGACUCUAAGCUCAGGGCUAUUGCUAUACUUGAUUUGGCUUUUGUCGUUCACGUGAUGUUUGUCUUGCUCAUUGUUACAGUCACGUAUGCUGCCGUUGCUAAAACUAUUGGUAUCAGGAGAUUUGGUUCUUAUGAGGCUCUGCCCAAUGCUGACUCGAGUCAUAUACAAAUGAAGGCUAUGACGGGAACUCAAGCUUGAUUAUCGUUGCAUUAGGUUAUAGGAGGGAGGCGGCAUUCCAAUCAGAUUAGUCCAUCAUUCUCAGCUGUCAUAUCUCAAUCAAGAAGAACAACAAUCUAAAAACGAGCUAAGCCCGCCAAGAAGGUUUCCCAAAACAGAUAUAUAUAGCGAAGUUCGGUUUUGUUUUUGCAGAGUUCAAUCUUGUUGAUGGAGUAGAAGCAGUUUCUUUUGUAUGGACCCAAUACUUUACAUUAGACUAUUUUAUUUGGACAAAAUGUUAUAUGAAAUGUCAAAAGGCAGUAUAAUUCUGGAGGAGGAGGAAGUUUUGGUUCCUGCCUUUUUAAUCUUAUAUAUGCAAUACACACUGGUCAACUAAAAUAUCGUUUAGAUA
Solanum stenotomum is the source of this 671-nucleotide long non-coding RNA. RefSeq lists it as uncharacterized. Lineage: Eukaryota; Viridiplantae; Streptophyta; Magnoliopsida; Solanales; Solanaceae. The record is from RefSeq and is a predicted model, not a curated record. The transcript is spliced from 2 exons.